RNAcentral lists this ribosomal RNA (253 nucleotides) under uncultured prokaryote. RNAcentral's name for it is "partial 16S ribosomal RNA". It matches the Rfam family "Bacterial small subunit ribosomal RNA", at positions 525 to 777 of the family's 1533-position model. The record is from RNAcentral.
ACGAAGGGGGCUAGCGUUGUUCGGAAUCACUGGGCGUAAAGCGCACGUAGGCGGAUUCUUAAGUCAGGGGUGAAAUCCCGAGGCUCAACCUCGGAACUGCCUUUGAUACUGGGAAUCUUGAGUAUGGCAGAGGUUGGUGGAACAGCAAGUGUAGAGGUGAAAUUCGUAGAUAUUUGCUAGAACACCAGUGGCGAAGGCGGCCAACUGGGCCAUAACUGACGCUGAGGUGCGAAAGCGUGGGGAGCAAACAGGA